This 440-nucleotide ribosomal RNA is filed under the name uncultured bacterium. Its description in RNAcentral is "partial 16S ribosomal RNA". It matches the Rfam family "Bacterial small subunit ribosomal RNA", at positions 338 to 795 of the family's 1533-position model. The record is from RNAcentral.
CCUACGGGUGGCAGCAGUGGGGAAUAUUGCACAAUGGGGGGGACCCUGAUGCAGCGACGCCGCGUGAGUGAAGAAGUAUUUCUGUAUGUAAAGCUCUAUCAGCAGGGGAGAUAAUGCCGGUACCUGAGUACGAAGCCCCGGCUAACUACGUACCAGCAGCCGCGGGAAUACGUCGGGGGCCAGCGUUAUUCGGGAUGACUGGGCGUAAAGGGUGCGUAGGUGGUUUAGUAAGUUGGCGGUGUAAUUCCGGGGCUUAACCUCGGCGCUACCGCCAAAACUAUUAGACUAGAGUGCAGGAGGGGUAAGUGGAAUGCCUAGUGUAGCGGUGGAAUGCGUAGAUAUUAGGAGGAACAUCAGGGGCGAAGGCGACUUACCGGACUGUAACUGACACUGAGGCACGAAAGCGUGGGGAGCAAACAGGAUUAGAUACCCUAGUAGUC